CCGCCGCGCUUCACCGUUGCUCUUAGUCUUUUUUCCGGUCGCCGCCUCCCCUCUUCGAAGGCCGGUUGAGGUCACCCGACAAGUUAAACACUUCGAAGAGAACCAUUCCGUUCGAUUUCUCGCUUAAUUAGUCGGGCAGAGAAGCUUGAAGGUGAUCUAUCAAGGUCGCCGUCGUCGACUGGAAUUUCAUAAUUUCCUCCGCACAUGGGUACGCCUAUGAUAUUAUAUUCAAAUUUCAGGAGAUUAUAUUUUGUUUUCAGUAUGAAUAUGCUACAAAAUAGGUUGCGAUUUUAUGGUAUUUGAUGGUUUGUAUUAAUCAUUGCUCAAUAUCUAAGAUUAUCAAUCCCAAUAAUAAACUAAGAUAUAGAUUCA
This is a long non-coding RNA of Salvia miltiorrhiza (redroot sage), 372 nucleotides long. RefSeq lists it as uncharacterized. The record is from RefSeq and is a predicted model, not a curated record. Lineage: Eukaryota; Viridiplantae; Streptophyta; Magnoliopsida; Lamiales; Lamiaceae. The transcript is spliced from 3 exons.